Molecule: non-coding RNA, 506 nt
Organism: Pelobates cultripes (western spadefoot toad)
Lineage: Eukaryota; Metazoa; Chordata; Amphibia; Anura; Pelobatidae
Source: the annotation of a GenBank genome assembly
UGUUUUCCUGGCCUUCUUUUAUAUUGUCUUAGGGCUGCAUCCAGUAGGAAGUUGGCGCUAUGCAUUUCAUCUGCUUAUUUUGAGCACUGCACAUCUACUCUGAUAAUAGUUGAUAUAAAGGAGCGUUUACAAAAAUCAUUAUGGAACACCUCACCAUGUACAUGUGCUUUAAUUGGGAUUCCACUCUGCUGCACACAGUAAAUGCACAUAUUAACAAAUCUCACGCAGAAUGACCUAUGUAGCCACCUGGGUGUACAUAUGUGAAUAGAGCUUUGCCAUAAUAUCAUCAUUGCACUGCAUUUCAGUUCAUUAUAUUAGCUCUUCUAGUAGAUUUUAGCAAAAUGAGAUGAAUGAGGACAAAAUACUAUUUUGUGAAUUAUCCUUGAAUGUUAAUUUCAAGAGGUUAUGAAUGAAUGCCAUUUAGUUACAGUGGCAUGCUCUUUUAGUGAUUUAUGUUCUCAUUAUUUUUGCUUUACAAACAAGAGUUACCAUUUCCAAUGGUCUGG